AUACGGAGGGUGCAAGCGUUGUCCGGAAUCAUUGGGUGUAAAGGGUGUGCAGGCGGAAGUCUAAGUCGGAGGUGAAAUCUUGCCGCUUAACGGUAAAAGGGCCUUCGAAACUGGAUUUCUUGAGUUCGGAAGAGGUUGGUGGAAUUCGUGGUGUAGCGGUGAAAUGCAUAGAUAUCACGAAGAACACCGGUGGCGAAGGCGGCCAACUGGUCCGAUACUGACGCUGAGACACGAGAGCGUGGGGAGCGAACAGGAUUAGAUACCCUGGUAGUCCACGCUGUAAACGAUGCAUGUUAGUUGUUGUCCCUUCGGGGGCAGUGACGCAGUUAACGCAGUAAGCAUGCCACCUGGGGAGUACGUUCGCAAGAAUGAA
Molecule: ribosomal RNA, 373 nt
Filed under: uncultured bacterium
Lineage: Bacteria
Description: bacterial SSU rRNA
Rfam family: Bacterial small subunit ribosomal RNA
Source: RNAcentral